UAAACAGGGCGCACUUCUCCGGGCAGGAGGCAGCCGGGGGCAGUCCGGCGCUGAACGGGUAGCCGGCUGCCUGCUCGUAGGCGCCGAGCGCCGGGUGCAGGGCAGCAGCUGCUGCCGCUGCAGCCGCCGAGCUGGGCAGGGAGGCAGCCGAGAUGGCCUGGCCCUGGUUGAUGAGUUACCAAAGCAGUUGGGAAACAGAGGCAGAGGACUGCCCCCACUCUGUCCGCAGCAGGGGUAUGGGAGGCAGCUCGGGACACUCCAGGGACCAAGCGGGCAGUGGGCGCCGUCCCCGAGGAACACCCAGCCCAGCGCCCCUGGUUCUGGGCUGGUUGGCUUAUCGAGGCCGGUUGGCCAAAGCAUCAGGAAAGGGAACAUUCUCGGCCGGGUGUUGGAUACCAAAUUAUAAACGCCAGAGCACCUUGUGUAAAGAUGAAUAUCGUUUUGUUACUGCGGGAGGGAAUACACCUACUGCUUUGAAAGGAGUUUAAAAUAUUCAGCAGACAGCACCGCAUUGAAAUUAGUGCAUUGAGCUGCAGACCAAACUAAUUUCUAGAACAGUCUAAAAAGUAAAAACAAAGUUUGGCAAAAAUGACAACUUUGCUUGAGAACAGCUCUGGAAAAGCGAAUCCACUGAGAGCCGUGGGAAUUCUCCGCCAGCUGUGCUUCCCCAACCGAGGAAGAAUCCAACCCGGAAUAUCGUUUCUGGACCCCACCGCGGAGACCCCAGCUGGACCCUCUCCUGAAAACUGCCCGGGGAGGGGGGUGCGGUCUCAGCGCCCUCCACUGCGGGGUCCAAGGCGCAGUAGCGGGGCGCGACCCCAGCGCUCCAAGCCCAGCAUUCUUGGCAGCUCUCCAGGCCCCAGUCAGAGGCACAUUGACCUUGAAGUUGCACUUGACUCGCCCACUCGGGGCUGCCUGGUGGCGCCUGGGUCAGCUUGAAACCCACGCAGCUGAGGGAGCUAGGUGUGGGGUUCACCAUACUGCGCCCCCGCCGGAUUUGGGAGCGCGGGAUCUACUCGGAGGCAGAGAGAUUAGCCCCAGAGGUCAAGCCUUUCGGCGUCGUUUUGUCAUCUGUAUUUUCUCGUCCCCUUCGCCGCCGAGUCCUACAAAGCUCACUUCAGAGAGACUGGGUCCACAUGUGUGGGCUCAUGAGGAGGAGGACAGCGAGGGUGACGACGCUGGGGGACUAGCGCGAGCUGGCGCAUUCCUGGCAGUGAGCCAAGGGCCCCCCGUCUUGCUAGUCUUUCCAAGUUGCUUGGCAAUUCCAAAAAUUUCGACUGUGGGAAAGUUGAAACUUGUUCGUAUAGCGUUCUUUCGAAAAGAUUUUCCUUGUCUGUAUCUAUUUUACAGAAAACAUACUGGUCCUCACUACUGUUUGGGGACGAGUUAGCCUAAAUUUGAACAGACCUUGAAGACAAACCCUGAGCCCCGGGAGGCAGCCUUCUCAGCGCGAGGUGCACACACAAGUCCCCGAGCCCACCGCGAGGGUCUCACCUGGCUCCUGCGUGGUCUUUCCCCACUUUGGCGACUUUGAAGGCCAGGGGGACCGUACAGUGAGCGAAUAACUUAGCGCCUGCAUUAUCACUGCUGAAACCUCAGAGAACAAUGUAGGACAUGCGGGUGCAGGUAGAGCAAAACUAGUGAAAAGAGUUUAUGAGGAAUUCAUACCGCCUCGCCUACUUGGGACAACUCCUUCAUUCAGUUGUCCUCCCUAGGGGGCUGUUAUGCUUAUUUGUGUCAGACCCUUCUUUCCCCUGGAAUCUUAUCAUCACAGAAUAUUAAACAUUUGAAAAAAUUUUAAAGAUUAAACUUGUUCGAGGAAAAAAUGGUAAACACUGUUAGGGAUUGCCUGGCGUGCACAAAUUAAGGAAAGAAAGAAACUGAAAAUUUCAGCGCGGCUUUGGGAAUUUUUAGCUUUGCGAUUUAAAACCCACAGCGCCAUCUCCUGGUAAUGAGGAGAAUAUAGCGAUGGAUGACAAUACUGAAAUGCUGACUAUGAAAUACUCAAAUAUGAGAAACGCCUCAAAAAUUAUUUCAGUGAUAGGUUGAUUAUGAUUACAAAAUAUGAUCUGACAUGGACAUUUAUUAUCAUUAAAAGUUAUCAGACACAAUCCUGGAAGCUAAUUAUUUGUAAAUAGAAGUUUGUAUAUUUAUACAUACAUGUAUUUUAUAGAUUCAGACGCUUAUGCUGUGAAUUUACAAGAUAUGAUUCUAUAAUUUAUCAUAAAUACAUAAUUUUACAAAACAGUUCCCUGUUUUACUUUUUGUGAAUGAUUUUACCAUAUAUGGUAGAAAAAGAAUAAUAGGAUGUGGUGAUCUAUGGAGACAUAAAAUCUUCUAGAUCCUCAUUGUAUUUUACUAGUCAACAUUAAUAAAUACUUUAGCCCCAUUGUCUCAAUAACUUCUCACUUUAUCUAUGUCUUCUCAUCAUGCAAUCUUACAGAAUGUCUUACUGUCUUAAUGUUAAGACAUCAUGACAAAAAUGUGUUAACAUUAUUCAGACAUUCUGAUCCUGAAAUAUCAUCUGAAGUUAAAUUAUUUUCCAAAAGUUUAAUGCACAUAAUAGAAUCAUAAAUACUUAAUACUUUUCUAUUAAAAUGUUUCUGAAGUAUUCUUUCAAGCUUUUCUCCCUUUUAUAAAUAAGAUUGAAACACACUAAAAUUUAGAGAUGAUAUCCCUAUUAAAAACAUUUCUCCUCUAUGAUUGUAUACACAGGCCAGCUGCUUGAAAUAAAAAUAAAAGUAGAUAUGCUUUUUGUAGUGUACAAAAUAUUAUGAAUAUCCUUCAAAAUUGUAGAUCAAACAGACAAAUGUAAACUUCAGUUGAAAGAUUCAUUUUAUUUGAUUAAUUAAAGUGAAGAUCUAUUAAGCCAAAU
This 2875-nucleotide long non-coding RNA is filed under the name Homo sapiens (human). RNAcentral describes it as "HSALNT0137940". The record is from RNAcentral. Lineage: Eukaryota; Metazoa; Chordata; Mammalia; Primates; Hominidae.